GGCGGACGGGUGAGUAACACGUGAGUAACCUGCCUUAGACAUUGGGAUAGCCUCGGGAAACCGGGAUUAAUACCAAAUAAAAUCAUAAUGACACAUGUCAUAACGAUCAAAACUCCGGUGGUCUAAGAUGGACUCGCGUCCCAUUAGCUAGUUGGUAGAGUAAAAGCCUACCAAGGCGACGAUGGGUAGCCGGCCUGAGAGGGUGAACGGCCACAUUGGAACUGAGAAACGGUCCAAACUCCUACGGGAGGCAGCAGUGGGGAAUAUUGCACAAUGGAGGGAACUCUGACGCAGCGACGCCGCGUGAACGAAGAAGGCUUUCGAGUCGUAAAGUUCUUUUAUAUGGGAAGAUAAUGACGGUACCAUAAGAAAAAGCCCCGGCUAACUACGUGCCAGCAGCCGCGGUAAUACGUAGGGGGCUAGCGUUGUCCGGAAUCACUGGGCGUAAAGGGUUCGCAGGCGGAAAUGCAAGUCAGAUGUAAAAGGCAGUAGCUUAACUACUGUAAGCAUUUGAAACUGCAUAUCUUGAGAAGAGUAGAGGUAAGUGGAAUUUUUAGUGUAGCGGUGAAAUGCGUAGAUAUUAAAAAGAAUACCGGUGGCGAAAGGCGACUUACUGGGCUCAUUCUGACGCUGAGGAACGAAAAGCGUGGGUAGCAAACAGGGAUUAGAUACCCUGUAGUCCACGCUGUAAACGAUGAGUGCUAAGGUGUCGGCGAACGUCGGUGCCGCAGUUAACACAAUAAGCACUCCCGCCUGGGGAAGUACG
RNAcentral lists this ribosomal RNA (766 nucleotides) under uncultured Finegoldia sp. Its description in RNAcentral is "bacterial SSU rRNA". It matches the Rfam family "Bacterial small subunit ribosomal RNA", at positions 97 to 884 of the family's 1533-position model. Lineage: Bacteria; Bacillati; Bacillota; Tissierellia; Tissierellales; Peptoniphilaceae. The record is from RNAcentral.